RNAcentral lists this transfer RNA (59 nucleotides) under Neomysis japonica. RNAcentral describes it as "tRNA-Cys". Lineage: Eukaryota; Metazoa; Arthropoda; Malacostraca; Mysida; Mysidae. The record is from RNAcentral.
AAAGAAGUAUUGUAAGAGAUAAACUCAAUCUGCAAAAUUGAAAAAUAAUAUACUCUUUA